AUUGAACGCUGGCGGCAUGCUUUACACAUGCAAGUCGAACGGUAACAGGCCUUCGGGUGCUGACGAGUGGCGAACGGGUGAGUAAUGCAUCGGAACGUACCCAGAGGUGGGGGAUAACGCAGCGAAAGCUGUGCUAAUACCGCAUGUGAUCUGAGGAUGAAAGCGGGGGACCGCGCAGCAAUGUUUGGCCUCGCGCCUUUGGAGCGGCCGAUGUCGGAUUAGCUAGUUGGUGGGGUAAAGGCCUACCAAGGCGACGAUCCGUAGCUGGUCUGAGAGGACGACCAGCCACACUGGGACUGAGAAACGGCCCAGACUCCUAAGGGAGGGAGCAGGGGGGAAUUUUGGACAAUGGGCGCAAGCCUGAUCCAGCAAUGCCGCGUGCGGGAAGAAGGCCUUCGGGUUGUAAACCGCUUUUGGCAGGAACGAAACGGUGUCCGCUAAUACCGGGCGCUAAUGACGGUACCUGCAGAAUAAGCACCGGCUAACUACGUG
This 492-nucleotide ribosomal RNA is filed under the name uncultured bacterium. Its description in RNAcentral is "partial 16S ribosomal RNA". It matches the Rfam family "Bacterial small subunit ribosomal RNA", at positions 29 to 507 of the family's 1533-position model. The record is from RNAcentral.